Molecule: non-coding RNA, 148 nt
Filed under: Pan troglodytes (chimpanzee)
Lineage: Eukaryota; Metazoa; Chordata; Mammalia; Primates; Hominidae
Source: Rfam by way of RNAcentral
GCCGGGUAUGCUGGUGCAUGCCUGUAAUCCCAGCUACUCGGGAGGCUGAGGCAAGAGAAUCACUUGAAUCCAGGAGGCGGAGGUUGCAGUGAGCUGAGAUCAUGCCACUGCACUCCAGCCUGGGUGACAGAGUGAGACUCUGUCUCAA